Molecule: long non-coding RNA, 908 nt
Organism: Bombus impatiens (common eastern bumble bee)
Lineage: Eukaryota; Metazoa; Arthropoda; Insecta; Hymenoptera; Apidae
Exons: 2
Source: RefSeq, a predicted model, not a curated record
CAGUAAUAAUUGGAGGAACAUAUGUUUAAUUAAACAUAUAUCUACAUAAAUAAAUAAAAGUACACAAAAUGUUGAACUUCUAGGAGAUAUCGUCGGUUGCAUUAAAACAAUUUCAGAAAUACAAACGAGGUGGCAUAUAACAAGAUAUCGUGUAACCGUUUUGUCAGUUCGAUGAAAUUAAAAUCGACUAAAAGUGCGUAAAAACGACGGGCAUGGCAACACGCACUCGUGAUAUUCAUUAACGGCUGUUACGAGAAAGCGAAGUGGAGGAUAAGCGGACGGUUCAUAUCGUUCAAACUUAGUCUUAUACCUUACUAUACCUUUUUAUUACUUGCUAUCAUAAAACGUAUUUUCAGUGUUACAUACUUAAUUUGUAAAUCAAAUAUACUGUCAUAAAAAAUGGAUGGAAUUUUUUAAAACUAACAUCGAGUACACGUAGUGUUAAGCCUACGUGUUUUAAUGGAAUCAUCUAGAAGUUGGCAUGGUAAUUGAAUGUGGAUGACAAAAGAGAAGACGAUUAAAGGCGUAAAGGCUGAAGAUGCAAAUUACCCGGAAUUCUCGAAGAUGAUUUCAUGAAAACAACAUUGGUUAUCUGAAGAUCUACAUAAUCAAAGACUAUGACGAGCAGGAUAUUAAAAACCAGUUAUUAAAGAGUAUUCAUAGACAGAAUGCCAAGAUAAACGUAGAUGAUGUACGCUAUUGUUACUUCAUACGUUUGCCUCUUUACGGAAUUGUAAAUGGAAACAAAGAUCUUAGGAGAGCGGGGAACAUUCUUCAGUAAGAGGAAAUUUGUUGCAAUUUUUGUAAAAACGGUGAAACUUAGUAUAAAUUCUGCUAAUGUAGCUCCUAAUAAUCAAAUCUGAGGUAAAUCUUUGAAAAAAAAGGAACAAAACGAAGAAACUUUAGAA